UUUGUACCAAACUGCUAAUUACCGAGUGAUGUUUGCUAUAUUAUUUAAUAGAAUACCCUUAAAAUCCAGUUAGACUUUUUGCGAAUGGUGGAAGUGGUAGCACUUCUUGUCAAGUUGACCGUUACUGUUCUUUGCUCAACAUGGUAAAAUUGCGUUGUAUAAUUUGCUCCAUCCUCGUUCUGGUUUUUGCCGAGGGUCUGCUUGCCAUAUACAACGGAAGCAAUGCCUACGACCAUGAUAACCCGUUCCAGGCGGCAAUUCUAUUCAGUAACGUCACGAUAAAGAAACUUGUGUGGAAAAAGUACAUUUGCACCGGAUACGUAAUAUCCAGUCGCUGGAUUGUCACAGCUGCUCAUUGCUGUGCAAGAUGCAGCCAACUUCAGGACUGCAGCGUUCUUUUGGGAACGAGUGACCUGUCAGCCCAUUUCUCCAGACACGCGAAGCAUAUGAAGUUUCAACGGGCUGAACAGCAUCCUGCUUAUCAAUCCGGAAACACGACCUAUGACAUUUGCCUCCUACAAACGCGAAAGGUGAUUAAAUUUAACAACGAUGUGGCGCCCAUUUGCUUCGCAAAUCCUGGGCUUCAAAUAAAAAACGGAACGAAUUGUACAAUGGCUGGAUGGGGCUCCAUAAUAUGCCACAGAGAUUUCCCGUUCGAAAACGAAUAUCCGGAAGAAGAAAAGCCACUUGUGCGGCCUCCCAAUUCCACUAGGGAAGCAUUUCUUUUUUACAUAAAGGCACCUGUAUACAGAUUACAGACUUUAUCGGAUGUACAAAAGGAAAGUUCAGAAUAUUGCACAAGCCGUGCACUUGAUCCAGGCGUAGCGUGCGCCAGGAGUCUACCUAAUGAGGGUCCAUACACUGGUGACAGUGGUGGACCUCUUAAAUGCACAGCGUCGGACGAAUACGAAUAUGCUUUUGCCACGUUCAAGCGCAACGUGUGCAUGGUGGAAAAUUACCCCGCUGAGUACACUGAUAAUCAGCUACCGGACAUCUUCGAGUGGGUACAAACGAUGGUCGGCGAGCACGAGCUAAAUAGGAUCUGCAGAAAUGCAACGGAAGACUUUCCUGUUGCCGAGUUUUUAUCAGAGGAAGAUGAGUCAAUACGCUCAGUAACUGUUAGCGCAGACGUGGACAAAAACGUAUGAAUUCAGUGGUAUCAGAAAAUUCCCUGGGAAAUGCGCAAUGCAUGGUACCUGGAACGGAAAUGGAGGUGGUUCGUUAGCAGUGCUGGCCAAGCGACGCGGUAUAAGAAGUGUGUAGCCGCUCACGAUAGUUGCCUGCUACAACACAACGUUCCUAAGAGGGCCUACGAUAGCUGUCUGCUGUGAACAGCUGCUUGAUUCUUCUCAAAGAUGUUUGAUAUUCGGCUGCUGCGCAUAACCGGCCUGGCAUUGUCUUUGACCCUCCACGGCGACGACACCGAGUACACCAUCCCGCCAGGACAACCGGGUGGCUUCACACCAUAUGUUCUCAUCCAGAAACCCUGGCCGGAUGGCCAAAGCAACCACGGACGCAUGGUCGACGCUGCAAGGGCUUUAGCUAAAAUCAUAGAAGAAUAUUUUGAUGACUAUCUCUACGCGGGGAUGAACAAGUGCGCCGUGGACAGAUAUCUCCACUGACGUGAAUGCGUGGCGGGAUACAGGAACAGUGAUUUUGUGCAGAGCCUGGCAGCAUAAACGCAGCUUCCGCGAUGUUCUUCCAUACCGCUUCCAUUUGUCCCCAGCGAACCAGACUGAACCCCUUAAGUAUCGCGAUCUGUACGCGACGGCUGGCGACAUAUUUCAAUCCGAUGUUAGCACGAUGGAGCAAGUUGCGACCAUUCCUGAGGGAGCCUACAUCCCGUGCCGCCUCCGCAAUGCUUGUCCGCAAGUUAGGAACGAAACAGGGACCAUCUGGUGACGUCUGGACCUUGGCGGCCAACCCCCCAGUUACUGUGCUUUAGGCAGUCUUGGAAUGAUGCCUUUAUAACUUUUGCUCGCUAUAAUCAUUUUAAUGUGAGCUUCGUCAAUCAUUUUUUCUUUUGU
This is an RNA transcript of Paramacrobiotus metropolitanus, 2027 nucleotides long. It is a transcript of the gene named serine protease 27-like, with no coding region annotated. The record is from RefSeq and is a predicted model, not a curated record. NCBI's taxonomy places the organism in Eukaryota, Metazoa, Tardigrada, Eutardigrada, Parachela, Macrobiotidae. The transcript has 6 exons.